AACGAACGCUGGCGGCAUGCCUAACACAUGCAAGUCGAACGAGACCUUCGGGUCUACUGGCGCACUCGUGCGUCACGCGUGGGAACCUGCCCUUAGGUUCGGCAUACCUCCCCGAAAUGGGUGCUAAUACCGGCUAAUGUCCUCUGACCCCACAUUUAUCGCCUUUGGAUGGGCCUGCGUUGGAUUACCAAGUUGUUAUUGUAAAGGCCUACCAAGGCUAUGAUCCAUAGCUGGUUUAAGAGGAUGAUCAGCAAAACUGGAAGGGAGACACGGCCCAGAAUCAUAGGAGAGGGGGCAGUGGGGAAUAUUGGACAAAGGGCGAAGGGCAGAAAGAGCAAUGCGUGGUAAGGGAUGAAGGUGGGAGGGAAGUGAAGCACGUUAACACGGGAUGGUAAUGACGGUACCAGGAGAAUAAGCACCGGCUAACUUCGUG
RNAcentral lists this ribosomal RNA (433 nucleotides) under uncultured bacterium. RNAcentral's name for it is "partial 16S ribosomal RNA". It matches the Rfam family "Bacterial small subunit ribosomal RNA", at positions 29 to 507 of the family's 1533-position model. The record is from RNAcentral.